UGGGGAAUAUUGCACAAUGGGGGAAACCCUGAUGCAGCGACGCCGCGUGAAGGAAGAAGUAUCUCGGUAUGUAAACUUCUAUCAGCAGGGAAGAUAGUGACGGUACCUGACUAAGAAGCCCCGGCUAACUACGUGCCAGCAGCCGCGGUAAUACGUAGGGGGCAAGCGUUAUCCGGAUUUACUGGGUGUAAAGGGAGCGUAGACGGUGUGGCAAGUCUGAUGUGAAAGGCAUGGGCUCAACCUGUGGACUGCAUUGGAAACUGUCAUACUUGAGUGCAGGAGGGGUAAGCGGAAUUCCUAGUGUAGCGGAGAAAUGCGUAGAUAUUAGGAGGAACACCAGUGGCGAAGGCGGCUUACUGGACGGUAACUGACGUUGAGGCUCGAAAGCGUGGGGAGCAAACAGG
RNAcentral lists this ribosomal RNA (404 nucleotides) under bacterium. RNAcentral's name for it is "partial 16S ribosomal RNA". It matches the Rfam family "Bacterial small subunit ribosomal RNA", at positions 355 to 776 of the family's 1533-position model. The record is from RNAcentral.